Molecule: long non-coding RNA, 337 nt
Filed under: Homo sapiens (human)
Lineage: Eukaryota; Metazoa; Chordata; Mammalia; Primates; Hominidae
Description: HSALNT0318152
Source: RNAcentral
GCCAGGAUAGGGCGAUCCUGGAAGCUGGGCUUCGGAAGCGUGCAGAUAGGGUCUCUCUCUCUGCCACUCAGGCCAGAGUGCAGUUGACGCAGAGCAGGGGAGCCCUGAAAUGGAGCAUAGUGUGUCCGGAACUGGUGGGUUCUUGGUCUCACUGACUUCAAGAAUGAAGCUGCGGACCCUCGGGAUGAGUGUCACAGUUCUUAAAGGUGGCUUGUCUGGAGUUUGUUCCUUCUGAUGCUCUGAUGUGUUCAGAGUUUCUUCUUUCUGGUGGGUUUGUGGUCUCACUGGCUUCAGGAGUGAAGCUGCAGACCUUCAAGGUGAGUGUUACAGCUCUUAA